This 586-nucleotide long non-coding RNA is filed under the name Carica papaya (papaya). Its description in RNAcentral is "long non-coding RNA (CPAP_LNC003224)". Lineage: Eukaryota; Viridiplantae; Streptophyta; Magnoliopsida; Brassicales; Caricaceae. The record is from RNAcentral.
UAAUAGGCAAUUGUUCGAUCAAGCCAACGAUUAACUAAUCAUAUCAUAAUAAAUUCAUCCAACCAACAAGAGAGACUGCUCUUGUUCAAUUCUGCACAUUUCACAUGUAAAUCUGAAUAACUUUAAUACAAGCUGCCAAAUAUGUAUCUGUAUAUGAUCUGCAUGUUAUGGAAGGGUCCAUAUAAUUUAUUUCCUAUUGGGUACUUGGGGAAUAACUAGACAUGGAACAACUCUGUAAGAAGCUGUGAAUAUCCUAGGAAUUUUCAACUAUAUAAAAGAAACAUGCCAUACAAUGCUUAUAUAUAUAUAUCUGUAUAUACCCAAUAAUCAUAUGGUUUAAUUUUGUUCUUUCUUUUCUCUUCUUCUUCUUCUUCUUCUUCUCAUUUCCCUUUUUUAACUUAUUCUGGUUUCUCUUUGGUGGGUCAUUGUACGUGCAGCGACAUUACUCAUGUUGUCAGCUUCGAACAUCAUGAUGAGUAUAAUCUUGAAUUUAUGGAGGAGAAGAAGUAAAAGCUGGCGUCUCCAUUGAUCUCAAAUUAAAAUGAAUCCAAGUGGGUGAGGGAGAGGGCCUUGGUAGAAUAAAUAU